Molecule: ribosomal RNA, 861 nt
Filed under: Caenorhabditis briggsae
Lineage: Eukaryota; Metazoa; Nematoda; Chromadorea; Rhabditida; Rhabditidae
Description: SSU rRNA
Rfam family: Eukaryotic small subunit ribosomal RNA
Source: RNAcentral
AAUGUGAAUUGCGUACGGCUCAUUAGAGCAGAUAUCACCUUGUUCGGAAUCCUAAUAUGGAUAACUGCGGAAAUACUGGAGCUAAUACAUGCAACUAAACCCCAACGUAAGGCGGGGUGCAAUUAUUAGAACAGACCAAACGUUUUCGGACGUUGUUUGUUGACUCUGAAUAAAGCAGUUUACUGUCAGUUUCGACUGACUCUAUCCGAAAAGGGUGUCUGCCCUUUCAACUAGAUGGUAGUUUAUUGGACUACCAUGGUUGUUACGGGUAACGGAGAAUAAGGGUUCGACUCCGGAGAGGGAGCCUUAGAAACGGCUACCACGUCCAAGGAAGGCAGCAGGCGCGAAACUUAUCCACUGUUGAGUAUGAGAUAGUGACUAAAAAUAUAAAGACUCAUCCUUUUGGAUGAGUUAUUUCAAUGAGUUGAAUACAAAUGAUUCUUCGAGUAGCAAGGAGAGGGCAAGUCUGGUGCCAGCAGCCGCGGUAAUUCCAGCUCUCCUAGUGUAUCUCGUUAUUGCUGCGGUUAAAAAGCUCGUAGUUGGAUCUAGGUUACGUGCUGCAGUUCGCAAUUUGCGUCAACUGUAGUCGUGACUUCUAAUUUGCUGGUUUGAGGUUGGGUCCGCCCUUCAACUGCCAGCAGGUUUACCUUGAAUAAAUCAGAGUGCUCAAAACAAGUGUUUGCUUGAAUAGCUCAUCAUGGAAUAAUGAAACAGGACUUCGGUUCUUUUUGUUGGUUCUAGAACUGAUUUAAUGGUUAAGAGGGACAAACCGGGGGCAUUCGUAUCAUUACGCGAGAGGUGAAAUUCGUGGACCGUAGUGAGACGCCCAACAGCGAAAGCAUUGCCCCAGAAAUUGAAAAA